CCUAACUGGUAUUUUGAAGAGUGGAAUGAGAGGGUAACGCCUUGAAACGCUCUCCCUGAAUUGCGGCAAAAGGAAUGGUGCGCAACCGCCAACCCUGAUGCAGCCCGCUGAAGUCGGCUGAAUGCACUCGCUGUGUACGUUAUUGGAAACAAGACGAUACGGCAAAAGCGAGCCAGAGGUGGCCGCGAGUGUUAGGCCGGGGGUCUAUAAA
This 211-nucleotide non-coding RNA is filed under the name Desulfitobacterium sp. LBE. Lineage: Bacteria; Bacillati; Bacillota; Clostridia; Eubacteriales; Desulfitobacteriaceae. The record is from RNAcentral.